Molecule: ribosomal RNA, 460 nt
Filed under: uncultured bacterium
Lineage: Bacteria
Description: partial 16S ribosomal RNA
Rfam family: Bacterial small subunit ribosomal RNA
Source: RNAcentral
CCUACGGGUGGCAGCAGUGAGGAAUAUUGGUCAAUGGACGCAAGUCUGAACCAGCCAUGCCGCGUGCAGGAAGACGGCUCUAUGAGUUGUAAACUGCUUUUGUACGGGGGUAAACGCAGAUACGCGUAUCUGUCUGAAAAUAUCGUACGAAUAAGGAUCGGCUAACUCCGUGCCAGCAGCCGCGGUAAUACGGAGGAUUCAAGCGUUAUCCGGAUUUAUUGGGUUUAAAGGGUGCGUAGGCGGUCGGAUAAGUUAGAGGUGAAAUCCCGAGGCUCAACGUCGGAAUGGCCGCUGAUACUGGUCGGCGAGAGAUGAGGUGCGGUAGGCGGAAUGUACGGUGUAGCGGUGAAAUGCUUAGAGAUCAUACAGAACACCGAUUGCGAAGGCAGCUUACCAGGCUACUUCUGACGUUGAGGCACGAAGGCGUGGGGAGCGAACAGGAUUAGAUACCCGAGUAGUC